This 2206-nucleotide long non-coding RNA is filed under the name Corvus moneduloides (New Caledonian crow). Its description in RNAcentral is "lncRNA (ENSCMUG00000019573.1)". Lineage: Eukaryota; Metazoa; Chordata; Aves; Passeriformes; Corvidae. The record is from RNAcentral.
GAUAGUUUGGCUCUUAUAUGACUGUAUUACAAUGUUAAAUAGAAGUUCUUGUGGUGAACAGUCUUGUGACUCAAUAAUUUCGUUAAUUAUCACUGCCUACAGCAAUCACUCUGAUGAUGACUUGCCAUGAGUUUGUACAUUUUAAAAAAUACUUGUUGGAAAUAGCUGUAGUGUUUUUCAUAGUAAAACACACAGGGUGAACAGAAAAUUGUGUAGUACCCAUGACAUAACUGGGGGGUAAAAACAGCGGUUUGGGCCAAAUAAGAGGCUGCUCAGGACAGUGUAGCCUGCUGAGGUCUCCCUGGGGCUGGAGACCUUCCUUCCUUUGGUGGCAUAGCUGUAUCUCUCAGUUAGUUACUGAUCAAAAAGCACCUACAUUUUAGGAUAGGACAGGCUCCACACCCUUGUAUCACAGUCACAGUUCACCAGUGCUUUCUGCCAGCUCUGGAGGAGUGGGCUUGGGCACAGCUCUGAGCAGGCUGUGCCCACAGGUGCCUCAGGAGCCAGAGGGCUGUGACAUGGAGAGUGGGCAUUUGAAAUACUGGUGAAUGUAGCCUGAAUGCUCCGGGGUAUUCUGUAACAGUGGGGAGUUGGCUUUUGAAGUAUCACAUAGGUUACUGACGAUUUGGGGAAAUGAAAAGAUCUAGAUUUGCCUUCACAUAGCCAAGGAUAGGGAAAAGGGUUUAUCACCAGCAGUGGGAGGAAUGCAGAGGGGAGCACCCCAGUCCCCUGACCUUCUCCCAGCAGAGCCCAGGUCUCCCUUUGCUUCUGCCCCUGAGUUCCUACUGACUCACUGUGGCAGCUGAUUCCAGCCCAAAAUUCACCUAUUUGUGUGUCCGGAGCCUGGGAAAAAAAAUCCAUGCCAUUGUAUUUCACCAGUAAUUAAGUGCUAAUGGAUGUUUUAGAACUUGUUUUUAAUUUUCUUUCAACAGAAGACAAAAUGCCACAUUGUCUGAAGCUUUGUCUGCCCCACAGGCACUCUGCAAAAAUAUCUCCUUACAGCCACAAGGGCUUCAUCCUCAGUAUGUUUGACUGUGUUGGGAGUUCGAGCACAGGCACUGCACUGGUGUAAAUCCUCAUGGAGGACAUUGCAGCUAUGACAACUUACACCAGCACCUGAGCUCCCCUGGAAAUAACACAACAAAGCAGCUAUGUUAGUGACCAGUGGAGAAUUAUUAAAGGAACACAGAUAAUGGGAAGAAAAUAAACGACCUGGAUAGAAGAGCUACUAUAGAAUGAAGUGCAGGUAAAUCACUAUACUGGACACCUUCCAGCCUCAUGUCCUAGGUGCCUUUCUCCCUAAUUUUAACAUCUGCCUUAUGCUUCUGUUCUCUGCAAACCAGUCAGAAAGGGAAAAGAAUUGAAGUUUGGAUAUUCACAUUUGUUUCUAACUGGCAUCAUUGCCUGUGGAAAACUGUCCUUCUGGGAAAGAUGCUGGAGUGCUAGAAGUGAUGAUUCAAUUGCCCAUUAAGAUAAUUCCUGGAAGUACUACUUUCUUGAGGCUGUAUUUCCAGGAAUGGCAAUCACGGCGUCACUGCUCUGUCAGUGCGUUAGGUAUCUCCAGAAGCGGACACAGCAGGUGAAUAUUUCCAGUUACUACAAGUAAUACACCACAGGUUAGAUCUCGUGGUUAUCUUUAUUUGCAAAAGCUGACUAGUGCAGCAUAUUGCAAUCUUUUGAUGAUGAACUAUACCAAUUGUUUUGCAAUAAGCAGAAGCUUCUUUGCAAUCCAGGUAACAUUUUUUUAUGUUCCUAUUCCUGCUUUUUCGUGCUAUUAGAGAAGCAGUGAAUCUUUAAAGAGAAACUUCCUACAGCUAAAAAAGACAUUAAGGGGGAAAAAAGCUGGGAGCCAUAGUGACAGGUACAACUAAGGCUGUAUCCUUCGGUUCCCUGGAAACCAGUCAAACACUAUCUCAUCUUGCAAUGGUUGUGUCUGAUCCUCUGCUUCAGACAUCUUCCUAAUAAUGGCAACUACAGAGGUGACUCUCUGCAAAUAAGGGCUUACAGCAACUGGACAUCCAUCAUAUAUCUCCAGAGCAACAUUAGACCACCCUAAUGGGUACUCCCGUCUUCAUUAUGAUAUUAAUUCUCUAAAUUUCCAAAGUGAUUUCAUUUGUAAAAUGACAAAGGCUGGCUGCUCAGGAGACAAAGUGUUUUCAUCCCCCUCCUGCAUGCUUACAAAGGCUUGCUCUCUUUAGUCUUUGGG